This 236-nucleotide unclassified non-coding RNA is filed under the name uncultured fungus. Its description in RNAcentral is "partial contains 5.8S ribosomal RNA, internal transcribed spacer 2, and large subunit ribosomal RNA". The stretch from base 1 to 52 matches the Rfam family "5.8S ribosomal RNA", at positions 103 to 154 of the family's 154-position model. The record is from RNAcentral. Lineage: Eukaryota; Fungi.
AACGCAUAUUGCGCCCCAUGGUAUUCCGUGGGGCAUGCCUGUCCGAGCGUCAUUGCUCCCCUCAAGCUCUGCUUGGUAUUGGGCCCUGCUAGUCAUAGCCAGCCCUAAAUCCAGUGGGCCCAGCCCCGAGGAACCUAGGUGUGGUUUAUCCUCCGCCUCAGGCCCUCGCGACCGGUGCCUAUCCCAAUCCCUCUGUGGUUGACCUCGGAUCAGGUAGGAAUACCCGCUGAACUUAA